AUGCUGGUGUGAGGCCGAGUAGAGAAAGAGAAGGGACCACGAACCCAGGCAUGACUUGAUAGGAGGAAAAAGAAAGUUUUGCAUCUUUCUUAGAACUUUGUCUAUGUUCAUAAGGGGCUAAAAGAGAGAUAUUUUCCAGCAGUGGGCUCUGCCGGCAUGCCCCUGGCAUUGCUGUGGUGGAAGGAUUAAACACAUCUUCUGACCCCAGGGCCGAGGCCAUGCAUGCCCUAUUCUACCAUGAGGACCCUGGGAGAGCCUUCCUGUAGCCCCUCUAGGUGCUAUGAUUGGUAACCCUCUGCAGGUGAGCCCGGUGAAGCCCUGCCCACCACGCUCGGCUGUGACACCUGGAGGCCCUUGGGGUGUGGAACGACCUGGAAGGAGAAGGCUUCAGCCUCUCAGUGUGGCUGCCCAGCCACCAGUUAGGGCACAUGGGGUGUUUUUCUCUUCUGAAAAGACCAGGGUCAUCCGGCCAGGACUCCGCCAGUGAACACCAAUCUCUGAAGCAAGGCUCUGGGUGUCUCCCAUUGGAUGGACCCAGCUGGAAACCAGAAGACAACACAACUGAUUGAUGCACUUCAUACACAUCAGCCCCCAGAACACAAAGCAGAGAAGAGAGGCACUGAGAGUGAAUUUGCUCUGGAAGAGAACCGAAAAUGCUCAUGUGGCCACUAGCUUUCUAGAGUGUAAAAAUCAAACAUUGUGUGAAUCUUCAAAUGAAGAAGAAGACUGCUCUCAUGCUAAGAAGGAGGUUGGAUUAUGUGUCUUGCGACUCAGAAAACAGACAAAGCAAACAGCCUUGAAGAAAUAGAAAAUUAGGAAGACAUGAUGAUCAAUUCCCUUAUUAAAAAAUAAAGUCAGUCUUCCUUUCUCUUUUUCUCUAUGG
Molecule: non-coding RNA, 883 nt
Organism: Sus scrofa (pig)
Lineage: Eukaryota; Metazoa; Chordata; Mammalia; Artiodactyla; Suidae
Source: RefSeq, a predicted model, not a curated record